Molecule: ribosomal RNA, 435 nt
Filed under: uncultured bacterium
Lineage: Bacteria
Description: bacterial SSU rRNA
Rfam family: Bacterial small subunit ribosomal RNA
Source: RNAcentral
CAGGCCUAACACAUGCAAGUCGAACGAGCUCUUCGGAGCUAGUGGCGGACGGGUGAGUAACGCGUGGGAACCUGCCCAGAGGUGGGGAAUAACUUCGGGAAACCGGAGCUAAUACCCCAUAAGCCCUUCGGGGGAAAGAUUUAUCGCCUUUGGAUGGGCCCGCGUCGGAUUAGCUAGUUGGUGGGGUAAUGGCCUACCAAGGCGACGAUCCGUAGCUGGUCUGAGAGGAUGAUCAGCCACACUGGGACUGAGACACGGCCCAGACUCCUACGGGAGGCAGCAGUGGGGAAUAUUGGACAAUGGGCGAAAGCCUGAUCCAGCAAUGCCGCGUGUGUGAAGAAGGCCUUAGGGUUGUAAAGCACUUUCAGCAGGGAAGAUAAUGACGGUACCUGCAGAAGAAGCCCCGGCUAACUCCGUGCCAGCAGCCGCGGUAAU